This 95-nucleotide non-coding RNA is filed under the name Geminigera cryophila. The record is from RNAcentral. Lineage: Eukaryota; Cryptophyceae; Pyrenomonadales; Geminigeraceae.
AAAUAAAUAGAUAAAUGGAUACAUAUAAAUACGAGAGGGGGGGGUUUUUAUUUACCUUCCACGUAUUUGUGUGUGUUCUUUUUCCUCCUUUUUUU